CAAAGGCUUGGUCCUGACUUUUCUAUCAGCUCUAGCUAAGUUUACACAUGCCAGCCUCCGCGCCCCCGUGAGGAUGCCCUGUCCGUCCCAAAUCGGAACUAAGGAGCGGGUAUCAGGCACAUUCUUAUAGCCCACGACACCUUGCUUAGCCACACCCCCAAGGGAUUCAGCAGUGAUAAACAUUAAGCCAUAAGUGAAAGCUUGACUUAACUAUUGCCAAGAGGGCCGGUAAACCUCGUGCCAGCCACCGCGGUUAUACGAGGAGCCCAAGUUGAUAGCCUCCGGCGUAAAGCGUGGUUAAGAUAAAAAUUAAAGUAAAGCAGAACGCAAACCAAGCUGUUAUACGCAUUUGAAAGUAGAAGCCCAAUUACGAAAGUAGCUUUAUAUGACUGACCCCACGAAAGCCAGGGCACAAACUGGGAUUAGAUACCCCACUAUGCCUGGCCCUAAAAAUUGAUAGUUUAUUACAUCCACUAUCCGCCCGGGAACUACGAGCAAAACUUGAAACCCAAAGGACUUGGCGGUGCUUUAGACCCAACUAGAGGAGCCUGUCCUAGAACCGAUAAUCCCCGUUCAACCUUACCUUUUCUUGCAACUUCCGCCUAUAUACCGCCGUCGUAAGCUUACCCUGUGAAGGUGCCCAUAGUGAGCAAAGAUAGUAUCACCCCAUACGUCAGGUCGAGGUGUAGCUUAUGUAAAGGAAAGAGAUGGGCUACAUUUACUAUCAGUAGUAAAUUACGAAUGAUGCCCUGAAACCCCGCAUCUGAAGGUGGAUUUAGUAGUAAGUAAAAAACAGUGUGUUUUACUGAAACUUGGCUCUGAAGCGUGCACACACCGCCCGUCACUCUCCCCAUAAAAACUUUUUGACUUAAACUAUAAAACCUAAAACACUAAGGGGAGACAAGUCGUAACAUGGUAAGUGUACCGGAAGGUGCACUUGGAUCAUUAAGAGUACAACUGGACUAAUAUACAAGAAAACUCCGUGCAAACGGGCUACUCUUUAGAUACAUAAUAUUUACUAUUAUAGACUUGUAAGAGUUAAGAGAAACCUCUUUUUUUACUACACACUCAACACUUAGAUUAAGCAUCAACCCAAAACAGAGGCAUAUAGUAGAACACAGAGAGUACGUCUUGCUGUCAGCAAGGAGAUUGUCCGUGCAAACCGGACUAUGCCUAUUUAGACCCC
This 1186-nucleotide non-coding RNA is filed under the name Pseudanthias huchtii (red-cheeked fairy basslet). RNAcentral's name for it is "12S ribosomal RNA". The stretch from base 8 to 953 matches the Rfam family "Bacterial small subunit ribosomal RNA". Lineage: Eukaryota; Metazoa; Chordata; Actinopteri; Perciformes; Anthiadidae. The record is from RNAcentral.